CCAGCGGGGAGAAAGCCGGCCAGUUCCUGGGUCGCAGGGGCCUCCAGCGUCCGAGGUCGGUGCUUCGGGCGACCUUGGGUUGCUGCUGGAACCCUGACGUGCAGCAGGCCCAGGCCACGGUUCGCGGAGAGCGUCGGGCGCUGGUCCUCAAGAUCUCCCGGCUCUGCCCUUGCAGAGCUCAGUGGGGGAGACGUGCGUGCGCUUCCCUCGGGCAGGGCCGCUGCCCUCCUCCGCCCUUCACCCCAGACACCCUGGGGCAGUGGGGCCUCCCCCCAUCCGGUUGCUUCUGCUUUUCCUAACCCAGUUAGGAAACUCCGAGACCACAGGAGCCUCAGUCCGGCCACUGUGGCCUCCCCGUGACCAUGACCCAGAGGUUGGACAGCCCCGCAGGGCUGGACGUUUGACUUUGGCUCAGUUCCUCCACCGUUCCCUUCAUUUAUCCUGUGCCUCUCCCAGGCCUGUGGAUUUUGCUGUGGCCCCAAGCCGGCCCGAAGGCUCCUGGAGGUGGUAGGGUCAUGGCCUGAGGCGGUGCUGGGGAGGAGAGCUCGGGCCAGGAGUUCAGGGCAGCUACAGGUGGGGGGGUGCCGAGCCACCCUCAGCCUGCCCCCUGCCUACCUCUCAGAAAGGUGUGGAGGUUCCAGCGGGGCGGGGGCUCUCUGGGGCUCCAUCCUAGUGAGUGCCCCUCUCAGCUGAGGAGGAACCGAGAGCGGCGCUGGGGCACCUGAGCCCAGGAAGGCAACAGGCCGGCCGGGACCGCGAGUGCCUGGCGGAGCAGGCGCAGCCCAGGACUCCCGGCUCCCACCUCCGGCUGUAGUCCAGGGCCAAGGCUUGUGUUCAAUCGUGUGAAUGGCCGGCGGGCCCCCUCCACGUCCCCAUCCUUCGAGGGGACCCAGGAGACCUACACAGUGGCCCACGAGGAGAAUGUCCGCUUUGUGUCCGAAGCCUGGCAGCAGGUGCAACAGCAGCUGGAUGGUGGCCCAGCCGGUGAGGGCGGGCCAAGGCCUGUGCAACUUUGUGCCCAUUGACCUAGACGAGUGGUGGGCGCAGCAGUUCCUGGCGAGAAUCACCAGCUGUUCCUAGUGGCUGCUGGGAGGGGGCGCUGCUACACGGCCGACCUGUCGCCAGGAGAGAAGCAUGGCGCCCUGCCCACCCACUGCGCCUGGCUGGGUGCCGGCCACACCUGAAGUGCCAGCAUUUGGACUUUUGCACCUUUUUUUCCCUUGGCCCGGCUGUCCCAACCAAGCUGCCAUGGCCAAGGGCCGAACCCGUCUGACCUCAGCCCUGCUCACUGUGCCCAGGGACCAGCGACCAGCCCCUGGGGCUGGCAGGGAGGAGCUCCAGGCUAAUAAAGUGGAGAAACUG
This 1362-nucleotide long non-coding RNA is filed under the name Homo sapiens (human). RNAcentral's name for it is "long non-coding RNA NONHSAT172518.1". The record is from RNAcentral. Lineage: Eukaryota; Metazoa; Chordata; Mammalia; Primates; Hominidae.